Molecule: long non-coding RNA, 8114 nt
Filed under: Malus domestica (apple)
Lineage: Eukaryota; Viridiplantae; Streptophyta; Magnoliopsida; Rosales; Rosaceae
Description: long non-coding RNA (MDOM_LNC005981)
Source: RNAcentral
AAGGGUGAAAGAUAUGUUAGUAAAAUCACCCCAAGGUGGCCGGCCCUUUGUGUAGUUAUUGGAGAGAUAUUUCUUUUGGCCUCUUUGUUGUUUUUAACCACACAAAAACCCUAAUGAACAAUAUUUCACUAUAAAGUUCCUUAUAUAGACAUAAGAAACCUAGCCAACAACUUGACUAAAUAUCUCACCCUUUCCACACCUAAAAUGGCCGGCCCUCUUUGUGUUGUUUGGGCUUUGGGCUUUCAUUUAUUUCAAGUCAUCUAAUGCUUGAAUAAAAGCCCAAUGGGUUUAGGCCCAAUGGGCCCAAUUAAACCCGAACGUUUCUUUAAGCCCAAAACGAUCUUUAUCGCUUUUAUGAUUUCUUUAGACUUUCUAAAUUAAUCACAACACUUAAUUAAUCCAAUUAAUUAUUUUCCAUCAUCCAUUAGUUACUCACUACAAUAGUGUAUUGGUGAACAAUCUUUUAGGUUCUAAUUAGCAAGGCAGUGAGGUGAUUGGCAUCAAUCCAAUUGAUUAUAUUUAAUUCAAUCACUUAGUGAAUUAAAACUUCAUUUUAAUUCACCUUUCUUCUUUGACGACUACAUUUAAUCAUCUAGAAGAACUCACAAGCUAUGAGUGACAUCUAACCAUAUGUCAUAGCUACCCAAGCUAAUGUAGAAGUUUAUUUGGAGAACCUAUUCAGUUGGAAUUACAAUGUAAUUUAAUCCUUCUCUAAAACAAUACUCUCAAUCACAUUACUAGGGUAUGGAUAUAUUAUGUCAAACCCCUAAUGUGAUUAUUCCUUCUUAUAUGAUUCAAUUGAGUCGUAUAGGAACACUUUCCUUUAUUACGCUCGAUACUUCGGCCGAAGAUUCCCGAAUCAUAACUUAGAGUAUUCUUCCUCUCUUAUCGAGGAUUAGAGAUUCCUUGUUGCGCAUACACUUGCCUUCAUGACUAAGUGGCUUAACCCCAACUAUGCCGUUGGACAUUCUGAUAGAGUGACUUUUGACAUAAUCAAAGAUCAAGUACUUAACCACAAGACAACGACGAUGCCUCAGGUCAAAGGACUACUUACAUUAUUCCAACCAUUAGAGUUACUUGCUUGACAUGUGAGUAGACCUCCAUGCAAGUACUCUCGUUCGAUUGUGUUCAGUGAACUCAUUCCCUUAAUGAGCACCUACAUACUUGCCUUAGUGUCACAACACGAAUGGGAUGAGACUUUCCAUCCUUCCAAUUGAAGCGGACACAGUAUGUACCGGUCUUCGCAUUGUCAGUAUCCCUCCGACAAUCCAAUGACCAGGAACCUUUUUGGACAUUUGGUUAUGUGAAGAAGGUCUCUGUAGUCUAACAUCAUUAGAUUACUUCUUCAAUCGAUCCAUUGUCCAUGGAUACACUAUUUAGGACAUAUAUCGUUUAUAGAGAUAGUCCUAAUUAGUAUCUUUGCCAUUUGAUGUAUAAGAGUCAUCCAUACAUCGAUUCAAUUGUCCUGAAUGGUUUCUUCCAAAGAUUGACUUUCAGGGCAUAUUUCCAACAAUCUCCCACUUGCACUAAAGUGAAUCACUAGUGUAUCUUAUACAUCUUGUUGAGAGAGUUUAUGCUCGUAAGUUAACUUGGUUAUGUAUUAAUCCCUUUUAUUAUUCAAAAGGGAUUCACUUAUCAAAUAUUUCCAAAACAUUUGAUGAUGUCUUUUUGUUGUGUUCGAAUACUUUGAUGAGACCUUGAUUCCAUGGCUUGAGCUAUCGCCCCAUUACGUCGUAGUAUCGUACUAACGACCUUAUGGUUUGGAUUCAAUCAUUGGUUCUAAAAGAACCCCUUCCAUUCAAAACACCUUUUGAAGCAGUUUCUAAAACAAUAUAUUGUCAUAUAUUUCGUUUGUAUACUUUAUACAAACUUUGCUCCAACCUUGAGACCAUUGUAGUACAAUACUAACAAUCAUUCAUAUGAUUAGUACUUCAUCCAUUAUGAAGUUCCAUUUGUUAAAAUGGCUUAUUUUUCACUUUGGUUAACAACCUAAGUGAAUGCACGCUUCCAGAGUCCCACUCUGAUGUUUCUUUCUUAAAGGCAAUAAUACUCUAUCAGUUGCUUUGGUUCUGAUCCUGGGAUAUAGUAAUAUCUUAAAGUGACAAACUCAGUGGUUUCUUCACCUUUGGAUAUCUACUUCACAAGUCAAUACAUGUGUCCCUUUUGUGAUUUUAUGACACAUUCAUUAUAAGGGUUAUGAAAGUGAUUUCCUAUCACAUAGGAAAAUGCUUUCUUAAAUCUACAACAUUUGAGAUUUAAUUCCCAUAAUCAUUAUUGAGAUAGCCUUGCUAUAUCAAUAAGUCCAAUUUCAAGUCUAUACUUUAAAAUUGACCGUGUCAUGUUUUGUCAUUUCUCAAGUAACAUCCAUGUUUUAUCAAGUCUAUCAAAUAGACUUUAUUCACAUCUUGUUGCUCAAAUUAUGACAUCACUCCCACUGGCCUUGUUGUAACUUAGCAUUCAUUCAAAAUUAACAAUUAUAUUUUCUUGAUUUGAAUGCACAUUGCUCCCACUAACUUAAAUGAAUCACACACAAAAAGAAUUCCUUCUCAAGUAAUUCCAUUUUGAAUGUGUGACUUGCUUUAUCAAGUUUAUUCAUUUAAAUUAUAUGGUGUCAUACAUCAUACUUUAAGUUUUAGUCAUACUAAGACCUUUAAUGUAGUCAUAUAAGAAUUAUCCAAGUCUUUAGUGGAAGCAUUGCUCCUACUAAGGAUAUAGAAACUCAACCAUUCCUUCUAGGUGGUUGAUAUAAUUCUUUAUUAAAACUACAUAGAGCAAUAUUGUUACAUGAGAUGUUGAAUUUGGUUUGUCUUGUUGUUAAACCAUAUGUUGUGACUCAUUUUGAAACUUAUUCCCUUUUGUUUCAUCAACUUGUCCAUAUGCUUGGUUAUUUAGCUUGUUCUCAUAAAAGAGAAUUAUGGACAACUCCCAACAUAUAACCAUUUUAUACUAGAUUGACGAAACCAACAUUCAAAGACUAUUCUUUAGAAUGUCACACAACAUAGAAUUUUAACUUUUGAAGAGCUUGAGUCUUUUAACAAUUAAAAUUGCAAACUCUUAAUAAUAGUCAAAUACUAUUAUUCUUUAGACAACUAUAAACCAAUCAUAUUUAAGUUUAUAUCCAUUUUCACACCUCCCACUAUUUCUCAUGACUUUAAUGAGAAAUCAUUUCAUACAUUCAAAAUGUAUAAAAGUGGAGUAUUUUGGUAGAAGACAUUGUGUAGUAGCUUUAAAACAUUUCAAGCUUAUUUGUUUCAAUCUUCACUAAGUUUAAUGUCUUGUUAUUAAGUGAAUAAAGUCUUUAAACAUUUUAUAGAUUUAGACACUUCUUUCUUGGUUUAAUCACUAACACAAUUGACAUUUUAAAACCUUUUAAAGAAUGCCCAAUUAGUUGUUCAAAAUUACUAAUUGAAUCAAGAGUGAUCUUGAUCAUUGUGUUUCAAGUGAUAACCAUAUAAGAAACGUUUUUCUUAUUACUUAUAUCAUUAUAAUGUGAUCUUCCUUUUCUUCAAGAAAGGAUUCUCUAGCCUUUUUGUCAAUUCAUAUAGAACUCAUAAGUAGACAAAUGGAACCAAAUCUAAAGAUUCAUUGUAUCCUUUUAUGUCCUACAUGUGAGAUCUAUUCACAAUUGAUAAAUCUAAAGUUUGGUUAUCACAUUACAAUAAGUGAUAUAACUCUUGUAUCUCAUCUAGGAUACAACAAGACAAUUUUCAAUUCAUAACAUUACUUCAAGGAAAUAGUAUAUUAAAAAGGCAUUCUUCACAUUACAUUAAUAUGAUAGUUCAAACAUUCAUAAUGUUUAAUACAAAAAUUAUUAGCUCUAUACAUUUAGAGACUAAUUACCUUUAUACAUUUAGGCAUUAAUAGUGGUCUUCCAUCAUAUGAAGCCACAUAAUAAGUUCUUAUCAAAAUAAGAAAGUUUAAAGACAAUCUUUAAUGCCUAACAAACUUCCUAAGUAGUGAGCAAAAAACAUAAUGGUCGAAUCCUUCUCCACCUUUUCCUUGCUUGUUCCUCUUCUACUUGGCUCCUCCACCUAUAUACAAUUAUACAAGUGAUUAGCCCUUUAUAUCAAAUAUAAAUAUUUAGAAGAUCUAACAUUUAGAAUUGAAGAUAAGAACAAAAACCAUACCUUGUGGCUUGUCCUUAAGAGUUGCAAGGUAUAACCUGCAAUUCCUCUUCCAAUGCCCCUCCUUUCCAUAGUGGUGGCAAGUCCCCUUGGGCUCCAUUGCCUUCUUUUUCUUCACUCCUCCUUUAGGCUUAGGAGUGGGUGACUUCUUCUCCUUCCCUUUGCCUUUGCCUUGCGGCUUAGACUUGGAAGAGGAUGGCUUGUUGUAGACUACUGCAGAAGUCCCUACAACGUUCUCUUUCUUCAUAGUCUUCUCAGCAGUUACUAACAUAUUUAGUAACUCAGAGAGAGUACUAUCCAUCUUAUUCAUAUUGUAGUUCAUUACGAACUGCGCGAAUGAAUCAGAAAGAGAAGCCAAUAUAAAGUCCUGGGCCAAUUCCCCGUCAAGUGGAGUACCAAGGUUCUCCAAUUGUUCAAUGAAUCCUAUCAUCUUCAGUACAUGUUGGUGUACUGGAGCCCCCUUGACCAUCUUGGUUUUCACAAGUUCACAAACAGUGCUAAAGCGACGGUUGCGCGUCCCUUCACCAUAUAACUCCGUAAGAUGGAGUAUUAUGGAAGAUGCACUAUCCAUGCCCUCGUGCUGUCUCUAUAGCUCCUCAUUCAUGGAAGCCAACAGAUAGCACUUGGCUUGUGUGUCAUCCUUAACGUGCAUGUCAAACUUAGCACGUUCAUCCUCAGUAGCCUCAAGGCCGAGAGGUAUGUAAGGUGGGGCCUUGUCUAGUACGUAAACAAUCUUCUCUAAUGUUAGGAGAAUCUUGACAUUACGAUACCACGAUGGGAAAUUGUGCCCCUCUAGGCAAUGUUGUCGAGUAUUUUCGCGAGUGUGCUUCCAACCAUAUCUAUAUACAUAAACAAAUAAAAUAAUUAGAUUGAUUGUUGAUUAAGUCAAACGAUUCGGGUCUUUAAACCGAAUGACAUCACCCACCAUUUUUGGCAAAUUCCAUAUCCCUCAUGAUGGAAUCCGGGAGAUUUCAAAGAAAGCUCCUAGCGGGUUAUGGGAGGCUCACUAUUACCAAGCCCACCUCACGAUUAUACGAUGUUGGCUAGCAAAAAUAAUAAUGACAGGGUACGCUUACCCAUUCACAACAACCUCUUGUGAUUACCCAUCUUUUUGGCCUCUAGAGAACAAUGCCUCACGAUUAUACGAUGUUGGCACCAUUUCUCUUAGUUAAGUUCUUUCCCACCAUGCCGGUUUAGAUAGGGGUUCAAGCAUGACCUCACGAUUAUACGAUGUUGGCCACACUUGUUGCCUACCUUCACCUCAUCAAAUGUUUUAAAUAAACUCCUCCUGAAUAUAAGCAUGCACUUUGUCACUUCCCCAUUAUAGGGUGAAGGCGGUGUACAAGUCAUAAACGCUUGGAGCCUACCACGGUGGAAGGCCACGAAAAAGUGUUCAAAGCACUCUUACGCUUACAACUUAAUAUUGUUUGGUAGAGGGAUUUUAAGGUCUCAUCAAUUUUAUUUAUUUAAUCACAUUCAAAUAAAUAAUGUCCUAUUACAACUACUAGUCCAAAGUUUAAUGAAUUUUAGUAGCAUAUAAUAUCCCCACUAUUCGUUUUCAUAAAACAAAUCAAUAUCAAAACAUUUUUCAAAAUAUUGGAGAUAUACAUAACUACUAAUUGUAUUCAUUAUAGUUUAGUAGCGUAUGAUACUCCCACUAUUUGUUUUAAGAAAAACAAAUCAAUAUCAAAAACGAAUUUUUUCAAAUAUUGGAAGUAACUACUACUACUAAGGGUUUUUGCAUUCCUUUGAAAUUGGACUUUAUAGUUAUCUUAGGCUCUUGGAUGACCAUGGACUUAUUAGGUUAUUGCAACAACGAGCCAACAUUGUUGAAUAUAAACUCGGGGAGGUUGUGUCAAUUUAAUUACGUGCUUAUCAAUCCAAUUAAAACAUUUUCAUUGAGCCAUUAGAAAUGAAAGACAAUCAUUCAUUGCUAAUUUGGGCAUUGGACCCUUUUAAUCUUUAAUCUCAUGUCAAAAACCCUCUUUUAGUUAUGUCUCCUUACCAAUAGUUAAAGAAACUCUAGUCUAGCACUAGAGGGAAUCAACUAACGAAUAGAGAUUAAGAAGUAAUAAGAAUUACAAACCGAUUUGUACAAAUUCCUAUAAAUUACAUAUACUAAAAGGGGAGAGAUAGAUUAACGUCAAACGUGAUAAGGUCCAAUUAAACAGUAAUUAAAACACAUUCCCAAGGUUCAAACAAUUUGAUUUUAGCGCCUUCUCUCAUAGCUCAAUUAUCGUUUAAGGCAUAAGUCCAUAGUCACCCAUUUUAUAACUACUUAAACACAUUUAAAUAAUCAUAAUGGAAUGCAACAUAAACAUUUAGAUUUAGUGCAUAUGGGCAUAAUAGUAUUAUGAGUUUAAACAACUAACAAAAUUAAAAUCAAAUAUUUUAACUUUCUAGUUAGUAGGGGCCUAAAUGCAAAUAUGAAAAAGCUAGGGGUCAAACCGUAAAUACUCAAAAGUAUAAAAUAUCUUUUCAAAUUACAAAAGCCCCCCAAGUGGAUAAAUCCACUAGGGUGGCCGGCCAAUUAAUGGGGGGGUGGGAAGUCUCACCCACAUGCUUUAAUUCAAUGCAAAGUAGAAAAAUCCAAAUUUUGCAUGUCACUUGGUUGUGGCAUUAAAAGGCUUUAAUGAGAAACGUGAUGGAAAUCUCCUAGACAAGUCUAGGGUUUUAUAAGUUUUAAUAUAGUUAUGGAUGGUAAGAACAUCAUCCAAAACCAUAAAACCAUGCAUGAAAACCAAAUAAAACCAUUUUCACCCAAAACCAAACUAUGAACACCAAGAACAAAACCAUGAACACUUUUUCAAGAUUUGUGUAUUCUUGGUGAUUUUCAAACCCAAAAACAAAAGUGACAAGGUUUCUACUUUCUAGCUUUAAAAUGAUGUGUGAGUGUCUUACAAUAAAACACAAACACAUGCUCAAAAAAAAAAAAAAACCCCCAAAACCGUGCCAACCACAAAGAACAAAACCCCAAAUUUUGUUCAUGACUUAUUCUUCAUUCAUGCAUACAAAACAUCUUUUUACAUGCAUACCUUUUUCAACUCUUGAUUUAUAAUUUUUCAACCAUUAAAAAACAAAAGAUAAACAUACUUUUAAAUGAAGAAAUAAUAUGUCAAACUAGUUCUAAACUCAUUUUUCAUUCAUGCAUACAAAACAUCUUUUGCAUACAUAUCUUUCUCAACUUUUGACUAACAUUUUUCAACUAUUGAAAAACAAAAGAUAAACAUACUUUGAAUGAAACAAUAAUAUGUCAUAUCUAAAUGACUAUCAUGCAUAUACAAAUCAAAUUUAAUAUACGAAAGUAGCGGAAGCAUUAAUAACAUAUUAACAAAGCUAUAGUCAUGCAAAUCCCCUUCAAGGUUCAUAGGUUUAUAUAUUAUGCAUCAUAUAAAAUUUAGAGAAAAGAACAAAGUGAAGGUUUAGUCUUAUACCUCUUGAUCUAGACUUGAGACCAAGGAUGGACCACCUCCAAGCCCUUUGUUCCUUGAACUCCUUGAGCCUAGCUUCCCUCCUUGCCUCCUCCACUUUGAUAGAAUGAGUGCUCCUAGGUUCUCUUCAAGUUUCCAAAGUAGGAAACCUCUAAAGAUCCUCACCCACUAGAGUAGUGAGAAGGAUGAAGGAAUAACCAAAGGGUGAAAGAUAUGUUAGUAAAAUCACCCCAAGGUGGCCGGCCUUUGUGUAGUUAUUGGAGAGAUAUUCUUUUGCCUCUUUGUUGUUUUUAACCACACAAAAACCCUAAUGAACAAUAUCACUAUAAAGUUCCUUAUAUAGACAUAAGAAACCUAGCCAACAACUUGACUAAAUAUCUCACCCUUUCCACACCUAAAAUGGCCGGCCCUCUUUGUGUUGUUUGGGCUUUGGGCUUUCAUUUAUUUCAAGUCAUCCAAUGCUUGAAUAAAAGCCCAAUGGGUUUAGGCCCAAUGGGCCCAAUUAAACCCGAACAUUUCUUUAAGCCCAAAACGAUCAUUAUCGCUUUUAUGAUUUCUU